Molecule: ribosomal RNA, 254 nt
Filed under: uncultured bacterium
Lineage: Bacteria
Description: partial 16S ribosomal RNA
Rfam family: Bacterial small subunit ribosomal RNA
Source: RNAcentral
GACGUAGGGCGCGAGCGUUGUCCGGAUUUAUUGGGCGUAAAGAGCUCGUAGGCGGCUCAUUGCGUCAACCGUGAAAACCAGCAGCUCAACUGUUGGCUUGCGGUUGAUACGGGUGGGCUGGAGUUCGGUAGGGGAGACUGGAAUUCCUGGUGUAGCGGUGAAAAUGCGCAGAUAUCAGGAGGAACACCGGUGGCGAAGGCGGGUCUCUGGGCCGAUACUGACGCUGAGGAGCGAAAGCGUGGGGAGCGAACAGG